RNAcentral lists this ribosomal RNA (118 nucleotides) under Periophthalmus magnuspinnatus. The record is from RNAcentral. Lineage: Eukaryota; Metazoa; Chordata; Actinopteri; Gobiiformes; Gobiidae.
UACUGCUACGACUACCCUUUCAAAGCCCAAUCUGGUCUGAUCUCUUUUGCUAAGCAGGGCUGGGUCUGGUUAGUACUUGGAUGUAGGAGACCGCUGGGACUAUCAGGUGCCACAGUGG